AAUGAACGCUGGCGGCGUGCUUAACACAUGCAAGUCGCACGAGAACGCUCCGGCUUGCCGGAGCAAGUAAAGUGGCGCACGGGUGAGUAAUGCGUAGGUAAUCUACCUUCGGAUUCGGGAUAACCCUUCGAAAGGGGGGCUAAUACCGGAUAAAGUCAAGAAUUUUUCGAAAUAUUUGAUGAAAGGUGGCCUCUAUAUAUAAGCUACUGUUCGGAGAUGAGCCUGCGUACCAUUAGCUAGUUGGCAGGGUAAUGGCCUACCAAGGCGACGAUGGUUAGCUGGUCUGAGAGGAUGAUCAGCCACACCGGAACUGGAACACGGUCCGGACUCCUACGGGAGGCAGCAGUGAGGAAUUUUGCGCAAUGGGGGAAACCCUGACGCAGCAACGCCGCGUGAGUGAUGAAGGCUUUCGGGUCGUAAAGCUCUGUCAAGUGGGAAGAACCCGCACUUAGGUAAUAUUUAGGUGCAAGACGGAGGAUGCAAGUGUUAUCCGGAAUCACUGGGCGUAAAGCGUCUGU
This 518-nucleotide ribosomal RNA is filed under the name uncultured Desulfococcus sp. RNAcentral describes it as "bacterial SSU rRNA". It matches the Rfam family "Bacterial small subunit ribosomal RNA", at positions 28 to 572 of the family's 1533-position model. The record is from RNAcentral. Lineage: Bacteria; Pseudomonadati; Thermodesulfobacteriota; Desulfobacteria; Desulfobacterales; Desulfococcaceae.